ACUACCAAAAAAAGUUAGAUUCCCCAAAAGGGAUCAAUAUUUUGGGACGGAGGGAGUAAAUAUUUUUUUAAAAUUUGAAAAAUUAUAAUUUCUUUUCUGAAUGUUAUCUUCUUAUAAUAAAUUGUUUUUUGAAAUUUAUAUUUUCAUAACAAAUUCUGUUUUAAUUUAUUAUGUAAUAUAAUCUUCAGAGAGAAUUUUGUAAUUUUUCAAAUCUCAUAAAAUUUUUGUAAUUUAGUUAAAUCUUGAGGGUAUGUGUAAUUUGUCCAUAUAUAUAUAUAUAUAUUUGGUGUGCUGUAUGGUGUGUUAGCCCGCAGUGAUUAUAUAAGUGGACCAUUAUUAUCAAAUGGGCUUUGUUAAAAGAAUUGGUGGGAGUUUAAAGCAUGGGCUGCUGGGUCCUCUUGCUUUUUUGCAGCGGAUCAUUUAUAAUUAAUUAUUUCAUGAUGUUUGAUCGUGUGAACCUAAUUUGACUCAAUAUGAGGGUGGUUUUGGGCCAUCUCCGCCAAGAGUGAUUGUAGAGUCACUGCUAUGGGGAAUAGUGGUUCAUACUACCCAAGUUAGAGACUGGGAGAUGAGUGGGAGGAUAGCUACCGGUUUUCUGGUCGCUUCUUGUUUUCAUGUGACCCAUCCUUUGUAUUGUCACGCCAGUCAUGGAGUGAAGGGCAUACUGCCAUGGGGUUUGAGAUUUGUGAUCUACCAAGGGGACUAAGGGAUGUAAUGAUUGCUUUCAUGAUUUUGUUGGCUAUGUAUUGGUUUGUUGAUGUGGGGCUAUUGUUUUUCACUACAACACCCAAGUACAUAGCUUAUGGUUUCUGAUCAUGCUAGCUUCAUGUAACUUUGUUGGGAUUUCUCGUGGGAUAGAUUUUUUCUUCCGUCACGGCUUUGGUUAAAUGGCUUGGAUGUCAUAGUUGUGAAGAGUGAGACGCUUAUAGGAUUUCAUGUGUUAAUCUGCAGCAGUGACUGGGGGCAUGUGGGGUUGGUUAUCAUCUUUGAUUCGGCUCGGGAGUUGUUGCUUUGUGUUUGUAUCUGUUGUGUUUAUAAGCUUUGUGGUGUCUUCUGUAUCUCUGCAUAUAUCUAUCUCAAGCUCUCAUCAAUUUAUCUUUGUAACCAAACUGCCCAAAUCAAACAUUUUCUCGUAACACCCAAAUAUUAUUUACCA
Molecule: non-coding RNA, 1156 nt
Organism: Camellia sinensis
Lineage: Eukaryota; Viridiplantae; Streptophyta; Magnoliopsida; Ericales; Theaceae
Source: RefSeq, a predicted model, not a curated record